RNAcentral lists this ribosomal RNA (455 nucleotides) under Neisseria sp. oral taxon D61. RNAcentral's name for it is "bacterial SSU rRNA". It matches the Rfam family "Bacterial small subunit ribosomal RNA", at positions 30 to 487 of the family's 1533-position model. The record is from RNAcentral. Lineage: Bacteria; Pseudomonadati; Pseudomonadota; Betaproteobacteria; Neisseriales; Neisseriaceae.
AUUGAACGCUGGCGGCAUGCUUUACACAUGCAAGUCGGACGGCAGCGGGGAGUGCUUGCACUCUGCCGGCGAGUGGCGAACGGGUGAGUAAUGCAUCGGAACGUACCGAGUAAUGGGGGAUAACUGUCCGAAAGGACAGCUAAUACCGCAUACGCCCUGAGGGGGAAAGCGGGGGAUCUUAGGACCUCGCGUUAUUCGAGCGGCCGAUGUCUGAUUAGCUAGUUGGUGGGGUAAAGGCCUACCAAGGCGACGAUCAGUAGCGGGUCUGAGAGGACGAUCCGCCACACUGGGACUGAGACACGGCCCAGACUCCUACGGGAGGCAGCAGUGGGGAAUUUUGGACAAUGGGCGCAAGCCUGAUCCAGCCAUGCCGCGUGUCUGAAGAAGGCCUUCGGGUUGUAAAGGACUUUUGUCAGGGAAGAAAAGGAGUUGGUUAAUACCCGACUCUGAUGACG